CAGGAAAACUGCCUUGGGUGCCAUGGCGCAGCCUGCCCACACUUCAGGCACAGAGCACAGAAGAUUCUGUGGUUUCCACACCUGGGAAGAGAAAAGAAAAACCUUCCAGUGUUCAGGUAGCCACAACUUGACCAUGGGGACCCCUUGAACUGGCACGACCUCCCGUCCGCACCCAAGUCCCCACCAGCCUGUCCCUCUGAUGGUUCUGGGCUGGGUGUGGCAGGGAAAGGGCAGAAGUGAGACUUUGACCUGGUGGGUGCACACGCCUAGGUGUAAAUCUAGCUCCAACAUCUUACAUGAGAAUGAAUUGAAUUCAGAUUCUUUAAUGGCUCACCCUGGAGUUUUAUCCCUCCUGGUAAUAAUUUCAUGACCAACACAA
This 379-nucleotide long non-coding RNA is filed under the name Homo sapiens (human). RNAcentral describes it as "novel transcript". Lineage: Eukaryota; Metazoa; Chordata; Mammalia; Primates; Hominidae. The record is from RNAcentral.